UCGUGAGACAGUUCGGUCCCUAUCUGCCGUGGGCGUUGGAAGAUUGAAGGGGGCUGCUCCUAGUACGAGAGGACCGGAGUGGACGAACCUCUGGUGUUCGGGUUGUGUCGCCAGACGCAUUGCCCGGUAGCUAAGUUCGGAAUCGAUAACCGCUGAAAGCAUCUAAGCGGGAAGCGAGCCCUGAGAUGAGUCUUCCCUGACCCCUUGAGGGUCCUAAAGGGUUGUUCGAGACUAGAACGUUGAUAGGCAGGGUGUGUAAGCGCUGUGAGGCGUUGAGCUAACCUGUACUAAUUGCCCGUGAGGCUUAACCAUACAACACCCAAAGGGUUUUG
This 332-nucleotide ribosomal RNA is filed under the name Vibrio sp. Hep-1b-8. RNAcentral's name for it is "partial 23S ribosomal RNA". It matches the Rfam family "Bacterial large subunit ribosomal RNA", at positions 2619 to 2925 of the family's 2925-position model. Lineage: Bacteria; Pseudomonadati; Pseudomonadota; Gammaproteobacteria; Vibrionales; Vibrionaceae. The record is from RNAcentral.